RNAcentral lists this long non-coding RNA (1057 nucleotides) under Phoenix dactylifera (date palm). RNAcentral's name for it is "long non-coding RNA (PDAC_LNC016169)". Lineage: Eukaryota; Viridiplantae; Streptophyta; Magnoliopsida; Arecales; Arecaceae. The record is from RNAcentral.
AAGAGUAUCAUGGCACAAUGUCGAAAACCAAAAUCCUGAUAAAGGUUAUACAGAAAAUAAUAUUAAAUUCGAUUAUUUCAGCACCAAGGACACCUUAAAUAAAAUAGGAUUAAUAGAAUUCUUGAAGAAAUGAAAAAAGACAAUUGUGUAUGAUAGUCAUCUACUUAAAUGAUUUUUGAAAGCUAUCAUCACUGCGUGUCAUACAUAUGAUUUCUACUAGAUCCAUUUUUGAUGAAAACUCCUUUUGAUCUUCUGAAAAAUGGAAAAUGAACCAUUGCAUAUCUUUCAUAGUUUUCAGUCGUUCAUACUAUGCUUGAUAUGUUCUUAUGAAAAUAAUGCCAUCCUUGGAUAUCACUCAUCAAGCAAUGCAUAUAGAAUAUUCAAUGAAAAGAUUUUAGUUGCAGAAAUAUCAAUUCAUCUUACUCUUUAUGAGACUAAUAAUCUUUCAUGAAGACACUAAAAUCAGAUUAUUUGACAUGUUUAUGAUUAAUCUUUUUGCAUACAUUUAAUAAUCUGAAACUAAAACACUUAAGAAUGUAUAAGAUUAUAAUUGGUUAAGUUAAACUAAAUCAUUUUUUUUUAAUCUGAAAUCUUGCCGAUGAAAUUUGAAAAUUUAUUAGAACCAAAUUGAGUUUUUCAGAAAUGCACUUAAUGAAGAAAAAUUGAUGACUAUUAAAAGACUAAAUCAAGAAAAGAUGAAAUAGAUCUUGAUAAGAUUCUUACAUGAUUAGAAGUAAAGAUCACCAUCAUCAUUUGCUUGCUUUAUGAGCUUUAUAUUCUGUCAAAUGAAUGUGUAGAAUGCACUCCUAUGUGGUUAUUUCAUUAAAAAGGACAUCUAAGUAAAAUAACCCCCUUAUUUACAAAUACAUAUUACAUAUCUGAUAAAGCAUUACGUGAUUUGGAACAAGCAUCAAAAGCAUGAUAUAAAAGCUUAAGUAACCUUUUUGAUAGAGAAUGAUAGUGAUAAAUCUAUGCAUCAAAAAGAAGAAUUUGUGAUAUCUUAUUUGCUCAAAGUAUGCAGUAAUGACAUCAUUUUUGGUUCUACUAAUGAAGAGAU